Molecule: ribosomal RNA, 550 nt
Filed under: uncultured bacterium
Lineage: Bacteria
Description: partial 16S ribosomal RNA
Rfam family: Bacterial small subunit ribosomal RNA
Source: RNAcentral
UGGGGAAUAUUGGACAAUGGGCGCAAGCCUGAUCCAGCAAUGCCGCGUGUGUGAAGAAGGCCUUCGGGUUGUAAAGCACUUUUAUCAGGAGCGAAACGCUGUCGGCUAAUACCCGGCGGAACUGACGGUACCUGAGGAAUAAGCACCGGCUAACUUCGUGCCAGCAGCCGCGGUAAUACGAAGGGUGCAAGCGUUAAUCGGAAUUACUGGGCGUAAAGCGUGCGUAGGCGGUUUCUUAAGUCUGCUGUGAAAUCCCCGGGCUCAACCUGGGAAUGGCAGUGGAUACUGGGAGGCUAGAGUGUGUCAGAGGGUGGUGGAAUUCCCGGUGUAGCGGUGAAAUGCGUAGAGAUCGGGAGGAACAUCAGUGGCGAAGGCGGCCACCUGGGACAACACUGACGCUGAGGCACGAAAGCGUGGGGAGCAAACAGGAUUAGAUACCCUGGUAGUCCACGCCCUAAAGCGAUGCGAACUGGAUGUUGGUCUCAACUCGGAGAUCAGUGUCGAAGCUAACGCGUUAAGUUCGCCGCCUGGGGAGUACGGUCGCAAGAUU